Molecule: ribosomal RNA, 253 nt
Filed under: uncultured bacterium
Lineage: Bacteria
Description: partial 16S ribosomal RNA
Rfam family: Bacterial small subunit ribosomal RNA
Source: RNAcentral
UACGUAGGGUGCAAGCGUUAAUCGGAAUUACUGGGCGUAAAGCGUGCGCAGGCGGUUAUGUAAGACAGGUGUGAAAUCCCCGGGCUCAACCUGGGAACUGCAUUUGUGACUGCAUAGCUGGAGUGCGGCAGAGGGGGAUGGAAUUCCGCGUGUAGCAGUGAAAUGCGUAGAUAUGCGGAGGAACACCGAUGGCGAAGGCAAUCCCCUGGGCCUGCACUGACGCUCAUGCACGAAAGCGUGGGGAGCAAACAGG